GUGUGUGGGUGUAUUGGGGUGUGUGAGAGGUGUGGGGGUGUAUUGGGGUGUGUGAGAGGUGUGGGGGAGUAUUGGGGUGUGUGAGGUGUGUGGGUGCGUGAGAGGUGUGGGGGUGUAUUGGGGUGUGUGAGAGGUGUGGGGGUGUAUUGGGGUGCGUGAGAGGUGUGGGGGAGUAUUGAGGGUGUAUUGGGGUGUGUGAGGUGUGUGGGUGUGGGGGUGUAUUGGGGUGUGUGAGUGUAUUAGGGUGUGUGAGAGGUGUGGGAUGUUUUGGGGUGUAUUGGGGUGCGUGAGAGGUGUGGGGGAGUAUUGAGGGUGUAUUGGGGUGUGUGAGGUGUGUGGGUGUAUUAGGGUGUGUGAGAGGUGUGGGGGUGUAUUUGGGUGUGCGAGGGGUGUGGGGGUGUGUGAGAGGUAUGGGGGUGUAUGUGAGAGGUGUGGGGGUGUAUUGGGGUGUAUGAGAGGUGUGUGGGUGUAUUGGGGUGUGUGAGAGGUGUGG
This is a long non-coding RNA of Oncorhynchus keta (chum salmon), 493 nucleotides long. RefSeq lists it as uncharacterized. Lineage: Eukaryota; Metazoa; Chordata; Actinopteri; Salmoniformes; Salmonidae. The transcript has 4 exons. The record is from RefSeq and is a predicted model, not a curated record.